This 900-nucleotide long non-coding RNA is filed under the name Nicotiana benthamiana. Its description in RNAcentral is "long non-coding RNA (NBEN_LNC017625)". The record is from RNAcentral. Lineage: Eukaryota; Viridiplantae; Streptophyta; Magnoliopsida; Solanales; Solanaceae.
UCAAUUUAACUAUAACUUGAUGACACAAGGUACCUAAUACAAUUGCUUCUAGGAAAGCUGAAAGGUACACUAUAAAACCUACUACAAUUGAACUAGAAAUAAACACUCAGAUGGAACUGGUUCUUCUCUAGGUUCAUGUAGCUGUAGGCGUACACACUUGUAACUUACAUAUAUUGCUUGCAAAUAAGACAUGCUCUUUUUUCUCUCAGAUAUGCUUUGCUUAUGCUUGUGUGUGUAUCCCUGUAAAAGAGAACUAACGCAAUCAUAUAGAGUUAGUAGUUAGAGUUUGAUUAAGACUCCGUUUCUCAUCCGUACAGAAUUUGAGUCCUUUGCCAACACAAACUCCAACUCUUAUCAUAACUUAGGAUUAAGUUCAAUUCACAUAAGGAGACUGUCCACCUUAUCCCAAAUUCAACCUUUUCGAUUAUGUUCAUAAGAUAUUGAUGCGUGAUCUUUAGUGCAUUAUCUUCCUCACAUGCUCUGCAUGUGCACUGAUUGAUUCAGACUGUGUAGUAAAAGAUGGACCAGGUCCUUCCAUCAGUUCAUUUGUCAAUCUUCAAAACUCAACUGAAACUUGGGCCAACAAUUUUUCCCUUUUUGGUGAUGACAAACUCUUUGCUUAUUGUGACCAGGGAGCCUGUAAAAUUACCUGAAAACAACACUUAGAAAAUGAUUUAACUUAUCAUUAAGGAGGUCAGAUUUAGGUCAUAAAUAUCACUAGUUCAGAAAAUAAAUUUUAGGCACAAUAUCUUCCCCCUUUUGGCAUCAUCAAAAGCUGCAUAAAUAAUGUGAAUCCUUGAAGUUAAUUUUUACUCAUGGCCGCAACUCCAAGUGUACGCAUGUUUAAUUUAAUCAAAAAUCAAAUUAGAAAUAACUAUUAAGAACAAGAUUAACAAGAAC